GUUAGAGUCUGCUGGAAGAAAGAAAGUUGCUUUAAACUGCUACAAGGGAAAGAAUUGAUGUCAUACCCCCAGUGGAGCACAUCCAUACAUCAAGGGGAGGAUACCGCAGCCUACGGGAUGUCGUCUUCCUGCAGCCUCCUCCCUGCUUCCCUGGGGAGGUGAAGUGCCAUGCAAGUGAAGAAGACUUAAGAAAAGGGGCCCCUGGAUGCACCACAGCUAACCUGAUGAACAAGCCAUUCAGAUCUGGACUGCCAUCUACUCCCAAAGUAGACAGCAAGUUGACUGAUUCUGUGUGGGAUAAAAUGGAUGGGAUCAGCUGGGCACUGGGAGGGAACCAGCUCUGUGGCUAACCAGUUCUCCGUGGAGUGACAGAACCCAGCCACAGCUCUGACGCUUCAGGUGGAGAUACCCACUGCUUCCCUGAAAGAAGCAUCAGAUGGAGAAGUAAAGAAAGGACUUCUCACAGUUGCUGGGCUCUAUCAGCAUUAACCAGCAGGAUGAUGAGGUUUUCUAUUGCCCUGUGCCAGAUGGCAGCGUUCUGAUCGCAAGUCUGUGCUCUGUGGUUAUGGCAGGACUUCAUCUUCAAAUAACUGCUUGGUGUUUGAAAUUGAGGCACAGCCCACUUAUUUGGAUAUUUCAAGAUGCAAGUUUCAGCAGAACCCAUAAGCAGCAAUUGGGUUUGAGCAAUGAGGAAAGCUUUCCCCAG
This is a long non-coding RNA of Gallus gallus (chicken), 706 nucleotides long. The record is from Ensembl. Lineage: Eukaryota; Metazoa; Chordata; Aves; Galliformes; Phasianidae.